CUCUGAAGGACAGGUAAAUUCAAAGAAUUUCUCCAUUAUUCAAUACAUGUACUAAUUCUUAGGUUUAGUUACAGGGUUCUUUGGAUCAGAUAUCUAAAUCUCGAGAUGUUCCUUCUAUUGCAAAGACAAAUUCAAAAAGAAAAAGAAUUUAUGGCGACGGUCAUAGUCAACAACUUGGUACUAUUGGGCAGCAGAAUAAUAGCAAGGAAACAUUUGUCGAUGACAGGGAGAAGCAGCCAUCAUACAAACGUCCUGCU
Triticum aestivum (bread wheat) is the source of this 257-nucleotide long non-coding RNA. RefSeq lists it as uncharacterized. Lineage: Eukaryota; Viridiplantae; Streptophyta; Magnoliopsida; Poales; Poaceae. The record is from RefSeq and is a predicted model, not a curated record. The transcript has 3 exons.